CGUAAGUGGCAAGCGUUGUCCGGAAUUAUUGGGCGUAAAGCGCGCGCAGGUGGUUUCUUAAGUCUGAUGUGAAAGCCCACGGCUCAACCGUGGAGGGUCAUUGGAAACUGGGGAACUUGAGUGCAGAAGAGGAAAGUGGAAUUCCAAGUGUAGCGGUGAAAUGCGUAGAGAUUUGGAGGAACACCAGUGGCGAAGGCGACUUUCUGGUCUGUAACUGACACUGAGGCGCGAAAGCGUGGGGAGCGAACAGGAUUAGAUACCCUGGUAGUCCACGCCGUAAACGAUGAGUGCUAAGUGUUAGAGGGUUUCCGCCCUUUAGUGCUGCAGCUAACGCAUUAAGCACUCCGCCUGGGGAGUACGGUCGCAAGACUG
This 372-nucleotide ribosomal RNA is filed under the name uncultured organism. RNAcentral describes it as "bacterial SSU rRNA". It matches the Rfam family "Bacterial small subunit ribosomal RNA", at positions 526 to 896 of the family's 1533-position model. The record is from RNAcentral.